GACGAACGCUGGCGGCGUGCCUAAUACAUGCAAGUAGAACGAGUUGCGAACGGGUGAGUAACGCGUGGUAACCUGCCUCAUAGCGGGGGAUAACUAUUGGAAACGAUAGCUAAUACCGCAUAUUGUGAGAUGGACCUGCGUUGUAUUAGCUAGUUGGUGAGGUAAAGGUUCACCAAGGCGACGAUACAUAGCCGAUCUAGGAGGGUGAGCGGCCACACUGGGACUGGGACACGGCCCAGACGCCUACGGGAGGCAGCAGUGGGGAAGAUUGCACAAUGGGCGCAAGCCUGAUGCAGCCAUGCCGCGUGUAUGAAGAAGGCCUGCGGGUUGUAAAGUACUUUCAGCGGGGAGGCGUUACCCGCAGAAGAAGCACCGGCUAACUCCGUGCCAGCAGCCGCGGUAAUAC
RNAcentral lists this ribosomal RNA (406 nucleotides) under uncultured bacterium. RNAcentral's name for it is "partial 16S ribosomal RNA". It matches the Rfam family "Bacterial small subunit ribosomal RNA", at positions 28 to 526 of the family's 1533-position model. The record is from RNAcentral.